AAGUCGAACGAGAAAUUCCAAAACAAACCCUUCGGGGUGCGUUUUGGAAUGGAAAGUGGCGGACGGGCGAGUAACGCGUGAGUAACCUGCCCAUAAGAGGGGGAUAAUCCAUGGAAACGUGGACUAAUACCGCAUAUUGAAUAUUUACCGCAUGGCAGAUAUUUGAAAGAUUUAUCGCUUAUGGAUGGACUCGCGUCAGAUUAGCUAGUUGGUGAGGUAAAGGCUCACCAAGGCGACGAUCUGUAGCCGAACUGAGAGGUUGAUCGGCCGCAUUGGGACUGAGACACGGCCCAGACUCCUACGGGAGGCAGCAGUGGGGAAUAUUGCGCAAUGGGGGGAACCCUGACGCAGCAACGCCGCGUGCAGGAAGAAGGUCUUCGGAUUGUAAACUGUUGUCGCAAGGGAAGAAGACAGUGACGGUACCUUGUGAGAAAGUCACGGCUAACUACGUGCCAGCAGCCGCGGUAAUACGUAGGUGACAAGCGUUGUCCGGAUUUACUGGGUGUAAAGGGCGCGUAGGCGGACUGUCAAGUCAGUCGUGAAAUACCGGGGCUCAACCCCGGGGCUGCGAUUGAAACUGACAGCCUUGAGUAUCGGAGAGGAAAGCGGAAUUCCUAGUGUAGCGGUGAAAUGCGUAGAUAUUAGGGGGAACACCAGUGGCGAAGGCGGCUUUCUGGACGACAACU
RNAcentral lists this ribosomal RNA (686 nucleotides) under uncultured bacterium. Its description in RNAcentral is "bacterial SSU rRNA". It matches the Rfam family "Bacterial small subunit ribosomal RNA", at positions 59 to 741 of the family's 1533-position model. The record is from RNAcentral.